Phodopus roborovskii (desert hamster) is the source of this 131-nucleotide small nucleolar RNA. RefSeq annotates it as small nucleolar RNA SNORA3/SNORA45 family. The record is from RefSeq and is a predicted model, not a curated record. The transcript has a single exon. Lineage: Eukaryota; Metazoa; Chordata; Mammalia; Rodentia; Cricetidae.
GCAGAGACUAGAGUCACAUCCUUACAUGGUUCUUGUCCAAGUGUGGGAGAGUUCUUGAAGAGAAUCUGCUGGUCUUGAUUCACUGGCAGGGCUCUUCGGUGCCCCUGUUAGUACCCAGAUCAAAAACAUGU